RNAcentral lists this ribosomal RNA (473 nucleotides) under uncultured bacterium. RNAcentral's name for it is "bacterial SSU rRNA". It matches the Rfam family "Bacterial small subunit ribosomal RNA", at positions 329 to 793 of the family's 1533-position model. The record is from RNAcentral.
CUACGCACUCCUACGGGAGGCAGCAGUGGGGAAUAUUGCACAAUGGGCGCAAGCCUGAUGCAGCCAUGCCGCGUGUAUGAAGAAGGCCUUCGGGUUGUAAAGUACUUUCAGCAGUGAGGAAGGUGGGUAUGUUAAUAGCAUACUCAUUUGACGUUAGCUGCAGAAGAAGCACCGGCUAACUCCGUGCCAGCAGCCGCGGUAAUACGGAGGGUGCGAGCGUUAAUCGGAAUUACUGGGCGUAAAGCGCAUGCAGGUGGUUUGUUAAGUCAGAUGUGAAAGCCCGGGGCUCAACCUCGGAAUUGCAUUUAGAAACUGGACAAACUAGAGUACUGUAGAGGGGGUAGAAUUUCAGGUGUAGCGGUGAAAUGCGUAGAGAUCUGAAGGAAUACCGGUGGCGAAGGCGGCCCCCUGGACAGAUACUGACACUCAGAUGCGAAAGCGUGGGGAGCAAACAGGAUUAGAUACCCUGGUAG